This 460-nucleotide ribosomal RNA is filed under the name uncultured bacterium. Its description in RNAcentral is "partial 16S ribosomal RNA". It matches the Rfam family "Bacterial small subunit ribosomal RNA", at positions 338 to 795 of the family's 1533-position model. The record is from RNAcentral.
CCUACGGGUGGCAGCAGUGAGGAAUAUUGGUCAAUGGGCGCGAGCCUGAACCAGCCAAGUCGCGUGAGGGAGGACGGCCCUACGGGUUGUAAACCUCUUUUGCCGGGGAGCAACGGGCGUCACGUGUGGCGCCACUGAGAGUACCCGGAGAAACAGCAUCGGCAAACUCCGUGCCAGCAGCCGCGGUAAUACGGAGGAUGCGAGGGUUAGCCGGAUUUAUUGGGUUAAAGGGGUGCGUGGGCGGAGCGUUAAGUCAGUGGUAAAAUUGAGGGGCUCAACCCCUUCCCGCCAUUGAAACUGGCGUUCUUGAGUGGAAGAGAAGUAUGCGGAAUGCGUGGUGUAGCGGUGAAAUGCAUAGAUAUCACGCAGAACCCCGAUUGCGAAGGCAGCAUGCCGGCUUCCGACUGACGCUGAAGCACGAAAGCGUGGGGAUCGAACAGGAUUAGAUACCCGAGUAGUC